RNAcentral lists this transfer RNA (56 nucleotides) under Acanthocheilonema viteae. RNAcentral describes it as "tRNA-Pro". Lineage: Eukaryota; Metazoa; Nematoda; Chromadorea; Rhabditida; Onchocercidae. The record is from RNAcentral.
CUGGGUUAGUUUAAAGUUUAAAAUUUAAUAUUUGGGGUGUUAGGAUUGGUCUCGGU